GGAAGGAUCAUUAUAGAGAGCUUCGGCUCCCUGUAUGCUAUUACCACACUGUUAUUCUAUUCUAUGUUGCUUCCACCACCUUUACGGUGGUGGGGGGUUUUUCAUACUAUUCUUUUUGCAUAGACCGUUAAUCUGUCUGAAUAUGAGGGAAAUUAUUAUAAAACUUUCAACAACGGAUCUCUUGGCUCCUGCAUCGAUGAAGAACGCAGCGAAAUGCGAUAAUUAAUGUGAAUUGCAGAAUUCCGUGAAUCAUCGAGUCUUUGAACGCACAUUGCGCCUCAUGGUAUUCCGUGAGGCAUGCCCAUCUCAGCGUUAGUAGAUAUUAUCAAAUUUUGACAUUGUCAAUAUUUGGAUCAUGUCGAGGAAGCUAUUACCAUCGAUGUGGAUAGCUCCUUGGAAAUUCAUAGGUCUUCAAGUUGCCAUCAUUAGAACGUGAUGAAAAUUCCUUCGUUCACAUGUAGUUCGCUUGUAUAGUCCUAAAACUCAUAUACCUUUUUGGUAUUUUUUUCAAUUUGACCUGAGAUUGGGUAGGGAUACCCGCUGAACUUAAGCAUAUCAAUAAGCGGAGGAAAAGAAACCAACAGGGAUUGCCUCAGUAACGGCGAGUGAAGCGGCAAGAGCUCAGAUUUGAAAGCUAGCAUCUUUGAUGUUCGCAUUGUAAUCUGUAGAGGAGUGUUCGAGCAUAGCUUUGACCCAAGUUCUUUGGAACAGGACGUCAUGGAGGGUGAGAAUCCCGUUCAUGGUUGUUGUCUUAUGCUUAUGUGAACCUCCUUCAAUGAGUCGAGUUGUUUGGGAAUGCAGCUCUAAAUGGGUGGUAUAUUUCAUCUAAAGCUAAAUAUCAGCAGGAGACCGAUAGUGCACAAGUAGAGUGAUCGAAAGAUGAAAAGAACUUUGGAAAGAGAGUCAAACAGUACGUGAAAUUGUUGAAAGGGAAGCACUUGCACCCAGACUUGCUUUCAGUUGAUCAACUAUCAUUUUUGAUUGUGCACUUAAUUGUAAGCAGGCCAGUAUCAGUUAGAGUGGUGGGGCAAAGGUGUUGAGAAUGUAGCUCUUUCGGGAGUGUUAUAACUCUUCAUGUCAUGUCAUCUGCUCUGACUGAGGUUCGCACUUUGGUGAGGAUGCUGGCUUAAUGGGUGCAAGUGACCCGUCUUGAAACACGGACCAAGGAGUCUAACAGUUGUGCAAGUGUUUGGGUAUAAAACCCUUAUGCGUAAUGAAAGUAAAUGGAGGUGAGAACCGGAAGGUGCAUCAUCGACCGAUCCUGAUGUCUUCAGAUGGAUUUGAGUAAGAGCAUAGCUGUUGGGACCCGAAAGAUGGUGAACUAUGCCUGAAUAGGGUGAAGCCAGAGGAAACUCUGGUGGAGGCUCGCAGCGGUUCUGACGUGCAAAUCGAUCGUCAAAUUUGGGUAUAGGG
This 1413-nucleotide ribosomal RNA is filed under the name uncultured fungus. RNAcentral's name for it is "eukaryotic LSU rRNA". The stretch from base 514 to 1413 matches the Rfam family "Eukaryotic large subunit ribosomal RNA", at positions 1 to 922 of the family's 3401-position model. Lineage: Eukaryota; Fungi. The record is from RNAcentral.